GAUGAAGAACGUAGCGAAAUGCGAUAAGUAAUGUGAAUUGCAGAAUUCAGUGAAUCAUCGAAUCUUUGAACGCACAUUGCGCCCCUUGGUAUUCCGGGGGGCAUGCCUGUUCGAGCGUCAUUACAACCCUCAAGCUCUGCUUGGUCUUGGGCGUCACCGGUCCCCGGUGUGCCUUAAAAUCAGUGGCGGCGCCAUCUGGCUCUAAGCGUAGUACAUACUCUCGCUACAGACGUCCGGUGGAUGCUGGCCAGCAACCCCCAAUUUAUCAAGGUUGACCUCGGAUCAGGUAGGGAUACCCGCUGAACUUAAGCAUAUCAAUAGCGGAGGA
This 328-nucleotide unclassified non-coding RNA is filed under the name soil metagenome. RNAcentral's name for it is "partial contains 5.8S ribosomal RNA, internal transcribed spacer 2, and large subunit ribosomal RNA". The stretch from base 1 to 120 matches the Rfam family "5.8S ribosomal RNA", at positions 35 to 154 of the family's 154-position model. The record is from RNAcentral.